This 253-nucleotide ribosomal RNA is filed under the name uncultured bacterium. Its description in RNAcentral is "partial 16S ribosomal RNA". It matches the Rfam family "Bacterial small subunit ribosomal RNA", at positions 524 to 776 of the family's 1533-position model. The record is from RNAcentral.
UACAGAGGGGGCAAGCGUUAUUCGGAAUUAUUGGGCGUAAAGCGCACGUAGGCGGCUUUGCAAGUUAGAGGUGAAAGCCCAGGGCUCAACCCUGGAAUUGCCUUUAAAACUGCAUCGCUAGAAUUGUGGAGAGGUAAGUGGAAUUCCGAGUGUAGAGGUGAAAUUCGUAGAUAUUCGGAAGAACACCAGUGGCGAAGGCGACUUACUGGACACAUAUUGACGCUGAGGUGCGAAAGCGUGGGGAGCAAACAGG